CUACCUCCUGUCGGCUGCCACCGGGCGCAUAGUGAGCUCACUGCUGCUGGAGCCGGAGGACUGCGCGGCAGCCGUGGCCUACUGCCUGCCGCGCGAGGCGCUGUGGCUGCUGACCAGGGCUGGGCACCUGGUCCGCGCCAACGCGGCGCGCUGCCCCAUGAGCGUGCUGCACCGCGUGUGCCCGCCGCCGCCCCCUGCGCCGCAGCCUUGCUGUCUGCACCUGUACAGCCACCUCACGGAUCUCGGAGGCGCCUUCUCCUCCUGGGAGAUCGUGCGCCAGCACUGGGGCGAGUUGCGCUGCAGCUCUGUGGCCUGCGCCUGGAAGAACAAGAACCGGUGGGUGCGGGAGCCGGCGAGGGUCUGGCGGGCGGAAGGAGCGGCAGGGUCCGCGCCAACAGGCUCUUCCCACUCGCAGGUACCUGCCAGUGGUGGGGCACACGGACGGCACGCUGUCGGUGCUGGAGUGGCUCUCGUCGAAGACUGUCUUCCAAACGGAGGCGCACAGCCCGGGCCCGGUUGUCGCCAUCGCAUCCACCUGGAACAGCAUUGUGUCUUCGGGUCAGUAGCUCCCCUGCCAAAGGCCAGGCCGCCACAGAGCCCCCUCCCCUCCGACAAGGCCCAGCCAGAUUCCGCUGCCCACAGGUGGGGACCUGACGGUGAAGAUGUGGCGCGUCUUCCCCUAUGCCGAGGAGAGCCUGAGCCUGCUGCGCACCUUCUCCUGCUGCUACCCGGCCGUGGCGCUCUGUGUGCUAGGCAGACGCGUCACCGCGGGCUUUGAGGACCCAGACAGCGCUACCUACGGCCUGGUGCAGUUUGGCCUGGGCGACAGUCCGCGAUUAGACCACCGGCCCCAGGACGACCCCACGGACCACAUCACUGGUGAGGGGGCAGCACGGGUGAAGCCCAGCCACCGCCCAGCUCCGGUUCCUGACCCUGAACCCUGCCGCCAGGCCUGUGCUGCUGCCCCACGCUCAAACUGUAUGCCUGCUCCAGCCUGGACUGCACCGUUCGCAUCUGGACUGCUGAGAACCGCCUCCUGCGGCUCCUGCAGCUGAAUGGUGCCCCUCAGGCCCUGGCUUUCUGCAGCAACAGUGGAGACCUGGUGCUGGCGCUGGGAUCCCGCCUCUGCCUGGUGUCCCACAGGGUCUACCUGCCUACAUCCUACCUAGUUAAGAAGAUGUGCCAGAAGGCCCCAGACGUGGUGGACGACCCUCCGCUGCCACUGAUGAGCCAGGAGUCACUGACUUCCGCCCAACUGCAGAGGCUCACCAACCUCCAUGGGGCAGCCAGCCUCAGGUCCCAUGCAGGCCUGCUCAGCCCUCCUGGAGGCCCUCCUUUCCCACUCUGGGUGGGGGCCUGGCGGUGUGGGGCCCUCUGGAGUUGAUACAAGCCUGCCUGAGCCCUGGCACACCCGUUUGGGGUUGGUCCUUGUCCCAGCCUCUGCCCCAGCCCACUGGCAUGCCACCCAGCAUCCCACCUGUGCCUGUCCCUGUUUGCAGCGAGGCCUUGUCUCUCAUCCAUCGUCGGAGGGCAACAUCUCAGCACCUGGUGCCGAAGGAGGUGGGGUGGGUCCUCCUUAGCCCGCCCUGCCCCGGCUCAGGCCCCAGCCCUCAGCCCCGGGGCAGGCCUGGGAUCCCCGUGGUUGCCCGGGCAGCACACAGCAAGGCUCAAGGAAGAGCAGGCUGAUCCCUGAACCCUGACUCAGGACUUGGACGCCCUAGUGGCCCGGGACCGAGACCUUCAGCAGUUGAGGCUGGGGCUAGUGGUCCCAGCAGCCCAGCCCCCACCCUCCCGGCAGCAGCGCCAGGAAGGCUUUGACAAUUACCUCCGUCUGAUCUACCGCUCUGGCCUGCUGGGCAUGCAGUCUGGAAGGGAGUCCCAGCAGUGGAGUGCCGGGACCCUCACAGUGGAGAGAGAGACCCGGGAUGCGUGUGCUCUACCCCAAGCUGCCCACUGUCUUGCCCGGGCUGAGGUCAGCACCGCAGCCCAAACAGUGCCAACAGCCCUGUCCCCACAGGACCUGGGAGCCCUGGGCCAGCACUUCUCCCAGUCUCCCCGAGUCACAGUGCCGAUCCCACCCACCCACCGUAGGGUGCACAGCAAGGCAUCCCAGAUCCCACUGCUGCCAAAGAGAUGGGACAAGGAACCUCUCUCUAGCCUCAGGGGCUUCUUUCCUGCCACCGUGCAGCCCCACAAGCACUGCCUGAGGCCCAUCUGCUUCCCCGGCUAUGUACCCAACUCCGCGGUGCUACAGCAGAUGUGGCUAAAUGCGGAGGUCAGCAGCCUCGGAUCCCCGACUCAGCUCGCCUCCCAGAGAAAGUUCGAGGCAAGGGGCAGGGCUGGGGGUUUUGCCGGCAGGGGAGGGCUCUGCUGUCCUUGCAACCCAUCAGGCACCAUCUCUUGCCCCUCUGCAGCCAGGGGCAAGCCAGGAUGCCCUGUGGUUGUGGCGCCCCAGGCCAUCCCAAGCCCAGUGGCAGAGGAAGCUGCUCCAGUGCAUGGGGGAGAAGCCUGGGGAGGAGGGGGAGGAAGACGAGAAGGAAGAGGAGGAGGAGAAGGAAGACGAGGAGCUGGACCAGGCCUUGGCUUCCCUGAGCCCGCACUCCAACCAGCAGCUGGAUUCCUGGGAACUGGAGGAUCAGAGUGCUGUGGACUGGACCCAGGAGCCCCGGCGGCGCAGCUGCAAGGCUGCCAGGACCCACCCUCAUCCCUGGCACCGUCAUGGGAGUUUGCUCUUGGAUGAGCAUUACGGGCAUCUUCCCAAGUUUCUGCAUUUCUUCAUCUACCAGACCUGGUUCAAAAAGUUGUUCCCCAUCUUCAGCCUGCAGGUUGGAGGGAACUGGGGAUGCAUGAGAAGCAUGGGUUAGGGUGAGGGACAGGGGAGAAGAUAGGGGCUGGCUUGGGUGUGAUAUGGGAGCAGGGCCUCAGCAUGCUACCCUGCAGGCAUACCCGGAGGCAGGCACGGUCGAGGGCCUGGCCUCGCUGUUGGUGGCCCUGCUGGAGAAGACCACGUGGGUCGACCGUGUGCACAUCCUGCAGGUGCUACUGAGACUGCUGCCCAACAUGAGCAGUGAUCUCCAAGGCCAGCUGCAGGGCCUGCUCAUACACUUGCUCAACCUGGACCAGCCCCCCAGCCUCCAGGUGUGCCCCUUGUCCUGCCCCCAGUUUUCCUCCCCGCCCACCGGCCCUCAGCAACCACAUCCCCACCGCCUGCCUCAGGACCAGACGCAGAAGAAGUUCGUGAUACUGGCGCUGCAGCUGCUCCUGGCCUGCUCCCUGGAGUCCCGGGAUGUGGUGCUGGAGCUCAUGUCCUACUUCCUCUACUCUCCCGUGCACUGCCGGUGAGUUGCGCUCCUGCCCAGCCCUCCCUGCCACUGGGAAGGCCUCUGGACAAGCCACAUGCACCUGUCCCAGGCCAGAGCUCAAGAAGCUGCUGCACGGGCUGGGCCUUCGGGACCCAGAGGGCUUCCUAUUCAAGGAGAUGAUGACCUGGGUCCAGGGCCCAGACCUGGACUCCAAGGCCGGCCUGCGCACUUGCUGCCACCAGAAACUGGAGGACAUGAUCCAGCAGCUUCAGGAGACCCCAUCGCAGACGUCAGUGGUCUCUGGGGCACCCACACGCGCCUCCGUGAUACCCUCGGGCACCUCCUGGUCGCCCUCCAGCAUCUUCGGGAGGCUCUCACAGGUCUCAGAGGUGCCUUUGAUGGUGGUCUCACCUGCGGAGCCGCACUCUUUAGCCCCGGAGCUCCAGGCCCAGCGGACGCUGGCACCCACGCGCAGCUGGGGGACCCCUCAGCUCCGUCUCGGAGUGCUCUCCGAGACGCUGAAGAGCUUUUGCCUGGAGCCCGAGGCCCGCCUGCACCCUGCCGGGCCUGCUCAGCUGCCCGGAGAGCCGCCGCCGCUGGAGGAGACCGACUGGUCGCACUCGCAGCUGCUGGACUUGGGCCCCAUCGACGCGCUCAACUUCUUCUGUGAGCAGCUGCGGGCGCAGCAGCGGAGUUCGCUCCAGGAGAAGGCUGCGCACCCACACCCGCCAGUGCCCGACACGGUGGCGCCGGUGCCCGACAUGGUGGUGCCACCUCCACAGGAGCACUGGUGCCACCCCAUCCUCCGGCUGCAGGAGGCCAAGCCGCAGAGGUCUGCGAGGUCCGCGAUGAGACUGAGGGGUGAGUGGAGCCAGGGGUGGAGACUGGACCCCACCCCACCCCAGCCCCCGGGCCUCAUAAGCCUCCGCCCGCCCCCAGGCCCCAUGCUGUCCCGGCUCUGUGCGGGCCGCACCCUGGACGGCCGCAUCCGGACGCUGAAGCUGCCGCUGCCGCGUGUGGAGCCGCAGCCUUUCCCCCUGGACUGGCCCACGCCUCCGCGCCCGCUGCCCCCGCGGCUCCUGCAGCCGGCCCUGCAGCGCUACUUUCUGCCAGCGGACGCGGACCCUGACACCUACAGCUGACCGGGCUGGUGGCCUCAGCCCGCCUGGCUCUGGGGCCUGUCAUUGGUAUUUGGCCAAGGCCUGCAUCGGGAAUAAAGUCCAGAGAAUUUCUUUCUGC
Molecule: small RNA, 4541 nt
Filed under: Pan troglodytes (chimpanzee)
Lineage: Eukaryota; Metazoa; Chordata; Mammalia; Primates; Hominidae
Description: retained intron
Source: RNAcentral